GCCUCUUGCCAUCGGAUGUGCCCAGAUGGGAUUAGCUAGUAGGUGGGGUAACGGCUCACCUAGGCGACGAUCCCUAGCUGGUCUGAGAGGAUGACCAGCCACACUGGAACUGAGACACGGUCCAGACUCCUACGGGAGGCAGCAGUGGGGAAUAUUGCACAAUGGGCGCAAGCCUGAUGCAGCCAUGCCGCGUGUAUGAAGAAGGCCUUCGGGUUGUAAAGUACUUUCAGCGGGGAGGAAGGGAGUAAAGUUAAUACCUUUAAUCAUUGACGUUACCCGCAGAAGAAGCACCGGCUAACUCCGUGCCAGCAGCCGCGGUAAUACGGAGGGUGCAAGCGUUAAUCGGAAUUACUGGGCGUAAAGCGCACGCAGGCGGUUUGUUAAGUCAGAUGUGAAAUCCCCGGGCUCAACCUGGGAACUGCAUCUGAUACUGGCAAGUUUGAGUCUCGUAGAGGGGGGUAGAAUUCCAGGUGUAGCGGUGAAAUGCGUAGAGAUCUGGAGGAAUACCGGUGGCGAAGGCGGCCCCCUGGACGAAGACUGACGCUCAGGUGCGAAAGCGUGAGGAGCAAACAGGAUUAGAUACCCUGGUAGUCCACGCCGUAAACGAUGUCGACUUGGAGGUUGUGCCCUUGAGGCGUGGCUUCCGGAGCUAACGCGUUAAGUCGACCGCCUGGGGAGUACGGCCGCAAGGUUAAAACUCAAAUGAAUUGACGGGGGCCCGCACAAGCGGUGGAGCAUGUGGUUUAAUUCGAUGCAACGCGAAGAACCUUACCUGGUCUUGACAUCCACGGAAGUUUUCAGAGAUGAGAAUGUGCCUUCGGGAACCGUGAGACAGGUGCUGCAUGGCUGUCGUCAGCUCGUGUUGUGAAAUGUUGGGUUAAGUCCCGCAACGAGCGCAACCCUUAUCCUUUGUUGCCAGCGGUCCGGCCGGGAACUCAAAGGAGACUGCCAGUGAUAAACUGGAGGAAGGUGGGGAUGACGUCAAGUCAUCAUGGCCCUUACGACCAGGGCUACACACGUGCUGCAAUGGCGCAUACAAAGAGAAGCGACCUCGCGAGAGCAAGCGGACCUCAUAAAGUGCGUCGUAGUCCGGAUUGGAGUCUGCAACUCGACUCCAUGAAGUCGGAAUCGCUAGUAAUCGUGGAUCAGAAUGCCACGGUGA
RNAcentral lists this ribosomal RNA (1162 nucleotides) under uncultured Escherichia sp. Its description in RNAcentral is "bacterial SSU rRNA". It matches the Rfam family "Bacterial small subunit ribosomal RNA", at positions 210 to 1365 of the family's 1533-position model. Lineage: Bacteria; Pseudomonadati; Pseudomonadota; Gammaproteobacteria; Enterobacterales; Enterobacteriaceae. The record is from RNAcentral.